GAUGAACGCUGGCGGCGUGCCUAAUACAUGCAAGUCGAGCGAACAGACGAGGAGCUUGCUCCUCUGACGUUAGCGGCGGACGGGUGAGUAACACGUGGAUAACCUACCUAUAAGACUGGGAUAACUUCGGGAAACCGGAGCUAAUACCGGAUAAUAUAUUGAACCGCAUGGUUCAAUAGUGAAAGACGGUUUUGCUGUCACUUAUAGAUGGAUCCGCGCCGCAUUAGCUAGUUGGUAAGGUAACGGCUUACCAAGGCAACGAUGCGUAGCCGACCUGAGAGGGUGAUCGGCCACACUGGAACUGAGACACGGUCCAGACUCCUACGGGAGGCAGCAGUAGGGAAUCUUCCGCAAUGGGCGAAAGCCUGACGGAGCAACGCCGCGUGAGUGAUGAAGGUCUUCGGAUCGUAAAACUCUGUUAUUAGGGAAGAACAGAUGUGUAAGUAACUAUGCACGUCUUGACGGUACCUAAUCAGGAAGCCACGGCUAACUACGUG
RNAcentral lists this ribosomal RNA (497 nucleotides) under uncultured bacterium. Its description in RNAcentral is "partial 16S ribosomal RNA". It matches the Rfam family "Bacterial small subunit ribosomal RNA", at positions 28 to 507 of the family's 1533-position model. The record is from RNAcentral.